CGUCCGCUCAUAUUCCUAGGCCCGGCCCAUUUGUUUUUUCGCCGAGGCGCAAGCACCGUCAGCUCCACCCAUGGUCAGCUCCCCAGCCCACGAUGGCACGAUCUUUCAGUUUCCACAAACUCGUCCCCUCUCCUGCUCCGUACCACCUGCCGCCGGCGUUGCUCGACAACCGUCCCCCGCCGGCCCCGCCCCUUAGGCCUCAACCCAGCGCGGCUCCUCAACCUACCCCUGCUGGCGCUGCCCUGCUUCACACCCUCCAAGACACGAGAAACACUCCCUCCAGGCGGCAGUUGCGGUGAUCUGGUCCAAUUCCUCUCUCAGGCGGUGGCGGCGGUGCGUGAGGCUCUUCCUCCAAGUCAGCGGCGCGCGCGCGGCCCUCUAUCUAUGGGCGGUGGUGCGGGGGCUUCGCCCCUCCCUGCAGCGGUGCUUCUGCAUCACUUGUUGUACUUAGGCCGAUCUUGUCCGCCUUGAUACACAGAUCUUGUAUUGUGGUUUACAGAUAGUUGUACAAUUUAUUUUUUGCAUUUUCUGAUCUACUUUCCCCUUUCCAGGUUUGACGGCGCAACCGACGCCCUCGUGGAUCUACAACUGCAGAAAGAGCAGGUGUCGUCUCGUGCCGUACGAGCAACCCAACAAUCACCAAUGAGAUGCCCUGCGACCAUGCUGUCAACAACCAUCCUAUAGGGUUCCAGGUGCUGUGGAGGGCAGAAUCGCUUGCUUUGGGGAGUUCGGAUUGGGAAUGCAGGCUGCCAUCCAUGGGAGUUCGGGUAGUCUUAACUAUUGAUGGAGGAGGCGGAGAGAAGUAUCAAUCCCUCCACCAUCCAUUGAACACACUUGUUAUUUUCAAUCCUUGAUACAUGCACCUUCUUUAUUGUAGAAGUAUAUCCUUUUUUCAAUGGUUACCUGUUAUCACAUAUUAAUACUACCAUCAUUGACUACGCCUUUGUUUCUUGAACUAGCUUAGAAACAUUGGAGACUAUUUCUUUUUGACAAGGUUAUGUGCAGUUUUGUGCUCUUUUGUAACAUUGUAUUUCAGUUCAUCUGUAGCUGAUGCAUUAUAUUAAAUGAUGCUAUCACUGACUA
Sorghum bicolor (sorghum) is the source of this 1083-nucleotide long non-coding RNA. RefSeq lists it as uncharacterized. The record is from RefSeq and is a predicted model, not a curated record. The transcript is spliced from 2 exons. NCBI's taxonomy places the organism in Eukaryota, Viridiplantae, Streptophyta, Magnoliopsida, Poales, Poaceae.